CAGACAUGGGGGAAAGUGGACCCUGUUAUCACUCCCCUGUAUGGAUGGGUAAACAGGCUGAGAUCACACACUGAGAGGUUAAAGCCGAGCCAUCAUUAGAAGCAGCACCAAGCCCGAGGUUCCUGCUUCAGCUCGGGAAAUAGAGAUUAGCAUAUAAAUAGCCUUCGGUGCCUGCUUGAUUCCAGCUAUUUUGCGUUUCAAUGUGGCAUCAGAAUGCACUUAGCAAGAAAUGUUCGAGAGGAGAAAGAGGCUGCAGGCAGAAGAACAAGCAGCAUGAUGGUGUUGGGCUUGGAAAUGAUGCCACAAAAUGUGCUGAUUUGGGUUCCACCUGAGAACUCCCGGGACCCGCACAGGAGGAAGGGGCUUUCUCUGGAGCUGCCCUAGCUACCAUGCAGGCCCAUGGUCCAGAAGACACAGACUGCUGGAGUCGCCUCCCUGGACAGCUCAUCAUAGGGGUCCUGCUGCACCCUGCGGGAAGGAAGA
This is a long non-coding RNA of Fukomys damarensis (Damara mole-rat), 483 nucleotides long. RefSeq lists it as uncharacterized. The record is from RefSeq and is a predicted model, not a curated record. NCBI's taxonomy places the organism in Eukaryota, Metazoa, Chordata, Mammalia, Rodentia, Bathyergidae. The transcript is spliced from 3 exons.